Molecule: ribosomal RNA, 206 nt
Filed under: uncultured bacterium
Lineage: Bacteria
Description: partial 16S ribosomal RNA
Rfam family: Bacterial small subunit ribosomal RNA
Source: RNAcentral
GGAGCAGGCGGCACUAAGGGUCUGUGGUGAAAGAUCGAAGCUUAACUUCGGUAAGCCGUGGAAACCGUAGAGCUAGAGUGUGUGAGAGGAUCGUGGAAUUCCAUGUGUAGCGGUGAAAUGCGUAGAUAUAUGGAGGAACACCAGUGGCGAAGGCGACUUACUGGGCCGUAACUGACGCUGAGGCGCGAAAGCGUGGGGAGCGAACA